CAGCAGCCGCGGGAAUACGAAGGGGGCUAGCGUUACUCGGAAUUACUGGGCGUAAAGGGCGCGUAGGCGGCACGAUUAGUCAGGCGUGAAAUUCCUGGGCUCAACCUGGGGACUGCGCUUGAUACGGUCGAGCUAGAGGAUGGAAGAGGGUCGUGGAAUUCCCAGUGUAGAGGUGAAAUUCGUAGAUAUUGGGAAGAACACCGGUGGCGAAGGCGGCGACCUGGUCCAUUACUGACGCUGAGACGCGACAGCGUGGGGAGCAAACAGGAUUAGAGACCCCCGUAGUCCCUGUCUCUUAACA
This 301-nucleotide ribosomal RNA is filed under the name uncultured bacterium. Its description in RNAcentral is "partial 16S ribosomal RNA". It matches the Rfam family "Bacterial small subunit ribosomal RNA", at positions 509 to 808 of the family's 1533-position model. The record is from RNAcentral.